Molecule: long non-coding RNA, 338 nt
Organism: Perca fluviatilis (European perch)
Lineage: Eukaryota; Metazoa; Chordata; Actinopteri; Perciformes; Percidae
Exons: 3
Source: RefSeq, a predicted model, not a curated record
UGAGACUAGUUUCAACAAACGGUUAAAACACUGAUGAGAGUCCUGACUGAACUGAGUGAGGCGACUGGGACAGGAGAAAAAGUCAGAGGACAUCUGGUGGACAGGAAGAGAAUGGCAGUGAACUGGUUUGAGGAAGUGUGAAUGUCCACCGUCGCGUUCCCGUCUAAAGGGGAGAGGAGAGGGAGAGAAGAAGAAGGAAGGUGCCCGGACUUGGUGUUGUGUGUCAGUGCUUCACACUACCACCUAGCUGCCUGGACAAAGUGACUUCAUCUCCAUCUCUGACAGUGGAGGAGAGCAGAAACUGUCUGUUUGCUGCUGCUGAGAAGAUGAGAGAGAAA